RNAcentral lists this ribosomal RNA (169 nucleotides) under uncultured bacterium. Its description in RNAcentral is "partial 16S ribosomal RNA". It matches the Rfam family "Bacterial small subunit ribosomal RNA", at positions 338 to 524 of the family's 1533-position model. RNAcentral also lists the same sequence under 1 other name. The record is from RNAcentral.
CCUACGGGAGGCAGCAGUGGGGAAUAUUGGACAAUGGGCGCAAGCCUGAUCCAGCCAUGCCGCGUGAGUGAUGAAGGCCCUAGGGUUGUAAAGCUCUUUCACCGGAGAAGAUAAUGACGGUAUCCGGAGAAGAAGCCCCGGCUAACUUCGUGCCAGCAGCCGCGGUAAU